GAUGAACGCUGGCGGCGUGCCUAAUACAUGCAAGUCGAGCGAACAGACGAGGAGCUUGCUCCUCUGACGUUAGCGGCGGACGGGUGAGUAACACGUGGAUAACCUACCUAUAAGACUGGGAUAACUUCGGGAAACCGGAGCUAAUACCGGAUAAUAUAUUGAACCGCAUGGUUCAAUAGUGAAAGACGGUUUUGCUGUCACUUAUAGAUGGAUCCGCGCCGCAUUAGCUAGUUGGUAAGGUAACGGCUUACCAAGGCAACGAUGCGUAGCCGACCUGAGAGGGUGAUCGGCCACACUGGAACUGAGACACGGUCCAGACUCCUACGGGAGGCAGCAGUAGGGAAUCUUCCGCAAUGGGCGGAAGCCUGACGGAGCGACGCCGCGUGAGUGAUGAAGGUCUUCGGAUCGUAAAACUCUGUUAUUAGGGAAGAACAAAUGUGUAAGUAACUAUGCACGUCUUGACGGUACCUAAUCAGAAAGCCACGGCUAACUACGUG
RNAcentral lists this ribosomal RNA (497 nucleotides) under uncultured bacterium. Its description in RNAcentral is "partial 16S ribosomal RNA". It matches the Rfam family "Bacterial small subunit ribosomal RNA", at positions 28 to 507 of the family's 1533-position model. The record is from RNAcentral.